This 301-nucleotide ribosomal RNA is filed under the name uncultured bacterium. RNAcentral's name for it is "partial 16S ribosomal RNA". It matches the Rfam family "Bacterial small subunit ribosomal RNA", at positions 509 to 807 of the family's 1533-position model. The record is from RNAcentral.
CAGUAGCCACGGGAAUACGAAGGGGGCUAGCGUUGCUCGGAAUGACUGGGCGUAAAGGGCGCGUAGGCGGCGAUCAAAGUCAGGCGUGAAAUUCCUGGGCUCAACCUGGGGGCUGCGCUUGAUACUUGGUUGCUUGAGUGGGGAAGAGGGUCGUGGAAUUCCCAGUGUAGAGGUGAAAUUCGUAGAUAUUGGGAAGAACACCAGUGGCGAAGGCGGCUCACUGGACAUUUACUGACGCUGAUGCACGAAAGCUAGGGGAGCAAACAGGAUUAGAUACCCCCGUAGUCCCUGUCUCUUAUAC